GAUGAACGCUGACAGAAUGCUUAACACAUGCAAGUCUUUGGCGAAGCUGUGCUUGCACAGCCUAGCCAAGGCGGACGGGUGAGUAGCGCGUAAGGAACUUGCCCUGCAGUCAGGGAUAACAGACGGAAACGACUGAUAAGACCUGGUAAAGUCAGGCGGACUCAUGUCCAGCCUGAUGAAAAGAGAUGCUGCAGGAGAGCCUUGCGUCCUAUUAGCUUGUUGGUGGGGUAACGGCCCACCAAGGCGAUGAUAGGUAGCCGGCCUGAGAGGGUGGACGGCCACAAGGGGACUGAGAUACGGCCCUUACUCCUACGGGAGGCAGCAGUGGGGAAUAUUGGACAAUGGGGGCAACCCUGAUCCAGCAAUUCUGUGUGCACGAUGAAGGUUUUCGGAUUGUAAAGUGCUUUCAGCAGGGAAGAAAAAAAUGACGGUACCUGCAGAAGAAGCGACGGCUAAAUACGUG
This 463-nucleotide ribosomal RNA is filed under the name uncultured bacterium. Its description in RNAcentral is "partial 16S ribosomal RNA". It matches the Rfam family "Bacterial small subunit ribosomal RNA", at positions 28 to 507 of the family's 1533-position model. The record is from RNAcentral.